UAAUACUUGAAAAUUGGGCAAGAGCCUAAAUUUUUCAAAAAUUAUUUGAAUCAAAAUAAAGAAAUAGUAGAAUUAUAACUUAUAUUGUUAUCCAAGAGAAUCCAUUUGCAUCAAUGUCUCAAAUAUCUUCAAGUUGGGAUUGUUAAUUUCCAUCUUCAAUGCAGUCUAUUUUUUUCAUGGCAGGCUUCUUCUUUUUUGGUUGGCUGCUAAAUGUUUGAAGACUAACUUGAAAAAACCCUUUGGGAGGCGGCAGAGCUAAAAAUGACUUUCAACUUUUUCUGGUAUCUAUUCCUAAAAAAAGUAAUCUGCAAUUACCAUUUAAAAGCAUCAAUAUUUACAAAUAGCCAAAUACACAAAUAAAAUAAAAUAUUAAAUACACAUCUUUAAAUCAAAUAACUUUAAAAAGUAAUCAUGUAACUUUGAAUCAACUGUUGUUAAAAAGAAAUAAACUUUAAAGCAAAAUAAAUAAAAAAAUCCCAAAUACCUUCUCAAAAUAUGUACAUGCUAAUCAUUCUCCUUUCAUAAUCUUCUUGCUGAAGUUUCCUUUCAAUUUUGACUAAUUUGUUUUAGGACUUCUUUUGUUCAUAGAAAGGGGGUCGACAAACAAAAUGAGAAAGCUGAAUUUUUUUACUUGACUAAAAGGGUUGACUUUUAAGUUCUUU
This 662-nucleotide long non-coding RNA is filed under the name Gossypium barbadense (sea-island cotton). RNAcentral describes it as "long non-coding RNA (GBAR_LNC014171)". The record is from RNAcentral. Lineage: Eukaryota; Viridiplantae; Streptophyta; Magnoliopsida; Malvales; Malvaceae.